UUCCCCUGCGUCAUCUCCCUUUCCUCCGCUCCGCCCCCAUCCCCCCAGAGUCUGCUCCUGCGCAGCGCUAGAACUGCUGCCGUCGAGCGUCGCCAGCAUAGUGCGCUCACACCAGUGGGCUGCUGCACGGCUUUCGGGCGGUGCCAACGUGUGCUCUGCGCUGUAAGCCAUCUCCGUCAGUUCUCCGUGGCCUUCACCGCCUCGAUCUGAAGGACGUCGCGCCUCUUCCGGCUGACUGCAGCGCCAGGAGCAGUCAAGACGAGGGCCACGGCCACGGAUACCAGGGCCGAAGGCUGCGUCGCAUCUGUUGGUUCUGGAGAGGACAAGAAGCGGGGAACCGCUGGUAGAGUGCUACCUCCGUUUCCUCUCGGCCGUGGCCACCGGUCCCGCGCCUGACACCAACGUUCAACCUUUAUCCAUUCCGAACAUGCAGAGACAAUAUAUGAUGUUUCCCUGUUCACUUGCAUGAGAUUAUUCAGAUUUUGUUCAGUGCCAAUUGUUAAUUUGUUAUGACCAUAGUAUGAAUGUACGGGGGACUGGCCUUUCACUUAUUCAGUUUUCAGGUCUUUUGAAGCUCAUAAUUGGAUAUAGAAAAGAAUGAAGGUACUAAGUUUAUAGCAGCUCAUAAUGAAGGUAGUACCGGAUUUUAUGAUUCCCAGAAAUCUGAAACGUUGCAUCAGCUAUCAACUCCCAGUUCGGGUUACGGGCUCAAGGCUGUUUCUCGGCCAAUUUCUUCGCUAUAGAAAUUGACAAUCACAUUUCAUUUCCACGGUGCACAUUUGACUGUUUUAGUACCUCGAUCCAUCGAGGUAUGAUUUGAAAGUUAGUUUGUGGUUACACAUAGGAGCAUGGUAGCUCUCUGUUUGGUCAGACAGUUAAAACCCUGUAUGCUUCAUAUGCCUUCAGUUAUGUUGUCAAAUCCAGUCAUUUACUUGCUUAUGUUAUCAUGCAGGAUAGUUAACCCCAUAAAUGAUCAUAGCAAAUGUCAUCAAAUUGACAAUUUAAGAAGUGAGUACUACAAUGGGGAGCUCCCCGUGACUAAAUUUCUCAACUUGUACAAUAUGCAGUUAUAGGAAAUUUCAGCUAUCCAGGCCCAUCCUUAGCUUAGUCUAGAUGGUGAUAAAACCUUUUUCUUGUACUGCACUUGAAACAUUUAAGAAUUUUGUUGUAUUAGCCCAUUUAUUUGAGGUAUUUUUUGUGUCAACUUAUCAACUCAGUUUACUGCAUGCCUAAAAACACUUCAUAAAACAUGACUAUUUGUGUCCUUCUGCAGCUGAAACAUCUCUAGACAUUCUGACCAUUCUCUGGACAGCGGGUUGACUCUCCUCAUCACUCAUGGGAUACAGUAAGAUUCUGUAAUUUCACGAGCAGGUGAGCUGUAUAGAACAUGCAUUGAAAUGGUGGAAGCAAGACAAACGAGUGUGGCAGUUGUUCUUGGCCCGAGGGAUCUUGCUAUGCCAUCUUGCUUCACCUGUACAAAGCUGAAUAUGUGUAUCUGGUUUUCCCUCAAUAUCUAUUAGUUGU
Non-coding RNA from Lolium perenne, 1524 nucleotides. Lineage: Eukaryota; Viridiplantae; Streptophyta; Magnoliopsida; Poales; Poaceae. The record is from RefSeq and is a predicted model, not a curated record.